GAUGAAGAACGUAGCGAAAUGCGAUAAUUAAUGUGAAUUGCAGAAUUCCGUGAAUCAUCGAAUCUUUGAACGCACAUUGCGCCUGCCAGCACUCUGGCAGGCAUGCCUGUUCGAGCGUCAUUUCAACCAUCAAGCCCUAGGCUUGCGUUGGAGCCCUGCGGCUGCCGCAGGCCCCUAAAAGCAGUGGCGGGCUCGCUAUCACACCGAGUGCAGUAGAUUACUCUUCGCUCAGGGCGUGUGGCGGGUUCCAGCCGUGAAACCCCUACUUCUCAAGGUUGACCUCGGAUCAGGUAGGAAUACCCGCUGAACUUAAGCAUAUCAAUAAGCGGAGGA
RNAcentral lists this unclassified non-coding RNA (333 nucleotides) under soil metagenome. RNAcentral describes it as "partial contains 5.8S ribosomal RNA, internal transcribed spacer 2, and large subunit ribosomal RNA". The stretch from base 1 to 120 matches the Rfam family "5.8S ribosomal RNA", at positions 35 to 154 of the family's 154-position model. The record is from RNAcentral.